RNAcentral lists this ribosomal RNA (253 nucleotides) under uncultured bacterium. Its description in RNAcentral is "partial 16S ribosomal RNA". It matches the Rfam family "Bacterial small subunit ribosomal RNA", at positions 524 to 776 of the family's 1533-position model. The record is from RNAcentral.
UACGGAGGGUGCAAGCGUUAUCCGGAUUCACUGGGUUUAAAGGGUGCGUAGGCGGCGCGGUAAGUCGGGUGUGAAAUCUCGGGGCUUAACUCCGAAACUGCAUUCGAUACUGCCGUGCUUGAGGACUGGAGAGGAGACUGGAAUUUACGGUGUAGCGGUGAAAUGCGUAGAUAUCGUAAGGAAGACCAGUGGCGAAGGCGGGUCUCUGGACAGUUCCUGACGCUGAGGCACGAAGGUCAGGGGAGCAAACGGG